Phacochoerus africanus (Common warthog) is the source of this 911-nucleotide long non-coding RNA. RefSeq lists it as uncharacterized. NCBI's taxonomy places the organism in Eukaryota, Metazoa, Chordata, Mammalia, Artiodactyla, Suidae. The transcript is spliced from 3 exons. The record is from RefSeq and is a predicted model, not a curated record.
UCCACGUCUCAGCCCAGAUCUGGAAGGAAGAUUGAGAGUUGAAAAUUACCCACAUAGCCAUGAUAACCAAAGCUUUGCUAGCGCCUGCGGUCACCAGGAAGCCUGGAGCAGAACCUUGAGGACAUCACGUGUAAGGAACGGCGCCAAAGAAAGGGAAGGGUAAAAGGGCCAAGGCGGAGUGGCUGGAUGGUUAGGAGGAGAAACAGAAGAGGUUGAUGGUGUCCUAGAGCCAGAAGGGAGCCUUUCAAGGGGGGUGAUGACUGGUGCCGUCAAACACUAGCGACGAAUCAAUAAACGCUGAAAAGCAGCUCUCGGAUUCCACUCUUCCACUCGGAAGCUGAACACCCUUCCCUUCUUGCUCACCUAAACUUACUCCUCCUGCAAAACUGGGGUCACCCAUUGCCAUCACUGUAGCCGUUCCUGACUUCUCAAAUCCAAGGUCUCAUAAGUGUCUUCAAAGAUAAUCUCCUCGGCUGCAGUGCCUUCGCAGCUGCUUCUCCUUCUCUCUGAGUUCUACCAAGACACAAAUCUUAACUCAGAGGGCCCAAGGCUCCAAAUAAUAAGAACAGAUGUCUGUCUGGGGUCCCCGCCAUAAGCAACUAGAUGUAAUGCUCAUCCCUUUGAAAGGGACCUUGGUGCUGGUUUCAAAACCAUGGCUUGAUGUUUUCCACUUUAAAUACUUUCAGCCUAAGAAGAAAUUAGAAUUUACAAAUAGUACGGGUUUUUUGUGUGUCCUGCUAUAAAGUUUUUGGACAGGGUGAAGGUCAUUGCAAGGCUUUUAUACAACGGCAGAACUCUGAAGGAAGACUGGGCAACGUAUGCCAGGUGAAGAAUUGUACAGACUAAGCACUAGUACAAGAGUCAGGGGACUUAGCUUCUCUUUCUUUUCGAGGCUUUAGUUUCUUCAUCUG